GAGGGUGUAGCUCAGUGGUAGAGCACGUGCUCAGCAUGCACCAGGUCCUGGGUUCAAUCCCCAGGACCUCCA
RNAcentral lists this transfer RNA (72 nucleotides) under Camelus bactrianus (Bactrian camel). It matches the Rfam family "tRNA". From Rfam's summary of the family: Transfer RNA (tRNA) molecules are approximately 80 nucleotides in length. Their secondary structure includes four short double-helical elements and three loops (D, anti-codon, and T loops). RNAcentral also lists the same sequence under 2 other names. The record is from Rfam by way of RNAcentral. Lineage: Eukaryota; Metazoa; Chordata; Mammalia; Artiodactyla; Camelidae.